CAAUAAGGCAACCCUCGCCUUUCUACGAUGGUCACAGUAACGAAAUAUUAAAGCUAGAACAAUUUGGAAGUAAAUGAAGUAUAACUGAGAUAGCAUGACAAUUUCAAAUAAGAUAUAGGCUUAUGUCACGUUAGCACAGCUAGUACAUUUUUUAGGGCUAAAAGCCCAGAGCGGACUCUCGAGAGGAUCUAAGGCUGUCGAAACGGCGUUUUUAUAUACGAUGACAGUAUAGGAAUAAAUUACCAAUAGUUUCAUAUUCAUUACAAAAAUGCUGCCAAGUGGUGGUCUUGUUUUUCUUCUUCAUCCUUCUGUCGACCCCAGUGCAGAGUAACACAUUGUAGCUCAAGAUCUUUUCACACCUCUGAUAAGUUUUUCUGUAUAUGUGUGCUAGCUAGACUGCGAUCUCAUGCGCGCACACGAGGGGAAUGCGAGCUGCAAUGUAACAAAACAUUUCAUUGAUAAUAGCGCAGCGUUUACAUCGAUCGAGAAGAAAGAAAAAGCGUGCUUGCGAGUAUGAGGUAAGGCCGUAGUGCUUCUAUGUGCGUAAGACAGAUUGUGUGGGAAAAUGUCUUGUCUUCCCUUAUGUCCGUCUGGAUACAAUAGGGUUUUCGCACCCCGGCCGCGUCCAGCUGACAUGGACUACAGACUUCGAAGCUCGGCAUGUACGGCCGCUUGCUGUAUAAUUGCAGCUAUCGUGUUCUUCACGGUUGUUGCUGGAGCUCUCAGCCUCAGUGCAGCAGGAAAUUUCAGCGUGGAAGCACGUGGUGUCAAGCCCACAGUAAUGAGCGUUUUCGAAGCAGACCGGAUUUUAGGUUUCAACGAUAGCGCGCUUUUUCGAAAAUAAAGUCACUAAAAUG
RNAcentral lists this long non-coding RNA (857 nucleotides) under Dermacentor andersoni. RNAcentral describes it as "uncharacterized LOC126541791". The record is from RNAcentral. Lineage: Eukaryota; Metazoa; Arthropoda; Arachnida; Ixodida; Ixodidae.